RNAcentral lists this ribosomal RNA (254 nucleotides) under uncultured bacterium. RNAcentral describes it as "partial 16S ribosomal RNA". It matches the Rfam family "Bacterial small subunit ribosomal RNA", at positions 524 to 776 of the family's 1533-position model. The record is from RNAcentral.
UACGUAGGGUGCGAGCGUUGUCCGGAAUUAUUGGGCGUAAAGGGCUCGUAGGCGGUUUGUCGCGUCGGGAGUGAAAUCCACUGGCUUAACUGGUGGCUUGCUUUCGAUACGGGCAGACUGGAGGCAUGCAGGGGAGAACGGAAUUCCUGGUGUAGCGGUGAAAUGCGCAGAUAUCAGGAGGAACACCGGUGGCGAAGGCGGUUCUCUGGGCAUGUCCUGACGCUGAGGAGCGAAAAUGUGGGGGAGCGAACAGG